CCUACGGGAGGCAGCAGUGGGGAAUCUUGCGCAAUGGGCGAAAGCCUGACGCAGCCAUGCCGCGUGAAUGAUGAAGGUCUUAGGAUUGUAAAAUUCUUUCACCGGGGACGAUAAUGACGGUACCCGGAGAAGAAGCCCCGGCUAACUUCGUGCCAGCAGCCGCGGUAAUACGAAGGGGGCUAGCGUUGCUCGGAAUUACUGGGCGUAAAGGGAGCGUAGGCGGAUAGUUUAGUCAGAGGUGAAAGCCCAGGGCUCAACCUUGGAAUUGCCUUUGAUACUGGCUAUCUUGAGUAUGGGAGAGGUAUGCGGAACUCCGAGUGUAGAGGUGAAAUUCGUAGAUAUUCGGAAGAACACCAGUGGCGAAGGCGGCAUACUGGCCCAUUACUGACGCUGAGGCUCGAAAGCGUGGGGAGCAAACAGGAUUAGAUACCCUGGUAGUCCACGCUGUAAACGAUGAGUGCUAGUUGUCGGCAUGCAUGCAUGUCGGUGACGCGAGCUACGACAUAAGACGACGUCCGCCGUCGGGAGGUACGGUCGCGAAGUAGUAAACGUUACGAAAGUAAGUUAGUUAGGCGUUGAGACGNGCCGACGGACGACGACGAGGGAGGAGG
RNAcentral lists this ribosomal RNA (611 nucleotides) under uncultured bacterium. RNAcentral's name for it is "bacterial SSU rRNA". The stretch from base 1 to 520 matches the Rfam family "Bacterial small subunit ribosomal RNA", at positions 338 to 873 of the family's 1533-position model. The record is from RNAcentral.